CAGCCGCCGCGGUAAUACCGGCGGCCCGAGUGGCGGUCACUAUUAUUGGGCUUAAAGCGUCCGUAGCCGGGUUGGGAAGUCCUCCGGGAAAUCUGGCCGCUUAACGGUCAGAAUGCCGGAGGAUACUCCCAGCCUAGGGAGCGGGAGAGGCCGAGGGGAUUCCCGGAGUAGGGGUGGAAUCCUAUAAUCCCGGGAGGACCACCUGGGGCGAAGGCGCUCGGCUGGAACGCGUCCGACGGUGAGGGACGAAGGCCAGGGGAGCAAACCGGAUUAGAUACCCGGGUAGUCCUGGCUGUAAACGAUGCGGGCUAGCUGUUGGGUGGGCUUAGAGCCCACCCAGUGGCGCAGGGAAGCCGUUAAGCCCGCCGCCUGGGGAGUACGGCCGCAAGGCUGAAACUUAAAGGAAUUGGCGGG
RNAcentral lists this ribosomal RNA (414 nucleotides) under uncultured microorganism. RNAcentral describes it as "bacterial SSU rRNA". It matches the Rfam family "Archaeal small subunit ribosomal RNA", at positions 459 to 872 of the family's 1478-position model. The record is from RNAcentral.